RNAcentral lists this ribosomal RNA (261 nucleotides) under uncultured bacterium. RNAcentral's name for it is "partial 16S ribosomal RNA". It matches the Rfam family "Bacterial small subunit ribosomal RNA", at positions 524 to 778 of the family's 1533-position model. The record is from RNAcentral.
UACAGAGGGUGCGAGCGUUAAUCGGAAUUACUGGGCGUAAAGGGCGCGUAGGUGGUUAGAUAAGUUGGAUGUGAAAUCCCUGGGCUUAACCUAGGAACUGCAUACAAUACUGUUUAACUGGAGUGCAGUAGAGGGUAGUGGAAUUCCUGGUGUAGCGGUGAAAUGCGCAGAUAUCAGGAAGAACACCAGUGGCGAAGGCGCGUCUCUGGGCACGUACUGAGAGCUGAAGGAGCGAAGGACAAUGGGGAUGCGUAACAGGAU